GGGGCAGUAGCUCAGCCUGGGAGAGCACACGGCUGAAGACCGUGGUGUCGCGGGUCCAAAUCCCGCCUGCCCCA
RNAcentral lists this transfer RNA (74 nucleotides) under archaeon. Its description in RNAcentral is "tRNA-Phe". It matches the Rfam family "tRNA". Rfam says of the family: Transfer RNA (tRNA) molecules are approximately 80 nucleotides in length. The record is from RNAcentral. RNAcentral also lists the same sequence under 1 other name.